UUCCGGAGUAUUUUAAAGGGCCCACUUCGUGUGCUUUAAGAAAUUAGUCCGUAUCCCCCCUUAAGAAAUAAAGAAAAAGGUGUUCACAGUUUUUAAACAUAAUGGAUGUUUUUUCAACGUAUAACCUCGACUACCUUCCAGAAAACAUUUUAAUUGACGUGCUGUCAUAUUUGAGCGUGCGCGAGCUUGUCAAAGCUGGGAGAGUGUGUAAGAAAUGGAGACGCCUUGUGAAGGAUCAAAAACUAUGGAGACUUGUUGACCUGACUACGUGGAGGGGGAUGACAUCCCGUAUCCUGUGGGUCCUACUGCGCCAGUAUCUGGGUUGUGGCCUACGGUGCUUACGCUUGGAGGGGUUGCUCCUCUCUGUCCGAGGAGGCACUUUCGUCUCUGAAGCUUGGCUUAAAGCAUUGUCUGCAAAAUGUCCUCGCCUGAGCAAGCUCUACCUACUGCACGCGGACUUGAGAAGCCUCCCUAGUUGCCAAUUGCUUCCGCCAUCCUUGAAGGUGCUAGAGCUGCAAGGCUGUGAACUGCCUCUGGGUUUCUUCAACCAGCAUCCACCGCCUUCAUCUCAAGGGAACGCACCGGCGACAUCAAGCGUCCAACAGAAAGAAAGGAGUCGAGAUGCGCCAUCAGGGAUUUCUAUUGAAUGUUUAAUCCUCAAAAACGUUCCCUCUUUUAAAGACCAGCACUUGCAGAGUCUGACAUCAUGGGAAAGGCUUAGUCGACUGGAGUUGUGUGACACCUUUCGUGUAACCGCAAACGGGCUCAGAGGCUGCGCUGCCAAGAAAGGAGUCUGUGGUAUGGAGGGUCUAUUCCGUCUCAAAUAUUUGGGAAUGAGCUUCACUGCACGGCAGGGCUAUCAGAGGCCCAUGGCCUCAUCGGGGCUAGGGUCAGGAUGGCUCGGACUACAGGAGCUGAGCCUCGGAGGCAAGGAAGUUUUACCCGGGCUCCUGUACGCUAGUCGCCUAAAGGACCUGAAACGUCUCUCUCUGAAGGCUUGCACUCUCGGCGAGAAGCAGAUCGUGCAUAACUGCAAAAAACUCCGUGAUCUCCACAGACUAGAGUUUUUAGAUGUGGUCUUUCAACCGCAGCUGUGCCCACCUGAGGGGGAGGACGGUGGCGAGGGUGAGCGGCAGGAAGAGGAGGAAACUGCAGGCGGCGAUAACGGCAGCAAUGAAAGCAAACCGGAUCAACUGAUCCAGAAUCUGAGUCGCUCGCUGGCUGUCCUGUUGCCGUGCUGCACACUCUCCUUCAGCAAUUGCUCUGUUCAGACAAAUCCGGAUUAAGUAAAGCAUAAGUUUAACAAAUAAGCCAUAGCACUGCUACAUGUAACUCUGGAGAGACCAAGUUUUGCAAUAGUGGAAGAUUCAAAUGUAGAAAUGGUUUGAUUGGAUCACAAUUCAGUACCUCGAAAGUACCAGUACUUCAUCACGUUGUCACUUCAUCAUCACAAUUCUUAGGCCCUAAAAUAAUUUCAUAAAUUUAGUACCAUCAUGCAAACCUCCUAGGAAAAAGUUUCCAAGCACAUUCUAUUCAGUAACUAAUUAAUUUUUGUCUGGUGCUGGUUUUCUCAUCAGAAACCUGCGUCCACAAUGUGGACACGCUUGACCUAGUGCCAUUAUUUGACAAAUGUGCUACUGUCAAGAAUGACGUCUCUGUGCAUUUCGGGAUUUUUGACUGUGUCUACACAUGUUUGUAUGUACAGAGUAAGUCUUUUUAAAAAACGUGCAGAUGUUGCUUUUUAUUUCAUCUCAUGCAUUCAUUGUAGUCCCAACAUAUAGGUUGCAUUCAAUUAUGAUAUAGAGCAGGGUCCGGAUUUAGUGAACCUUGAAAUAGAGUGUAGGCUUAUUGUAAUUUGAGUGUAAAUGCAAGUUUUGUGAAAGAUCUUCGACAACUAAAUCUACGGUUUGUGUACUAUGGAAAUCCAGGGAAAAAAAAAAGAUUUUCUAAUGAGUUCCCCACCCCACACAAAUUUAAAUAUAAUACUGUAUUAUCUAUAACCAUGCAGCCGUUGUCCUUGCCUUAAAUAAAAGUGCCAUUUUCUGUCA
This is an RNA transcript of Corythoichthys intestinalis (scribbled pipefish), 2048 nucleotides long. It is a transcript of the gene named F-box/LRR-repeat protein 12-like, with no coding region annotated. The record is from RefSeq and is a predicted model, not a curated record. NCBI's taxonomy places the organism in Eukaryota, Metazoa, Chordata, Actinopteri, Syngnathiformes, Syngnathidae. The transcript is spliced from 4 exons.